AACGAACGCUGGCGGCAUGCUUAACACAUGCAAGUCGAACGAAACCUUCUGAGCUAGUUGCGCACGUGUGCGUACCGCGGGGUAAGCUGCCUUUAGGUUCUGAAUCUCUCAGUGUAGUUUGAGCUAAUACCGGUUGAUGUCUUCGGACAAAAGAUUUAUCGCCUUUAGGUGGGCCCGCGUUGUUUUAGCGUGCUGGUUGGGUAAAGGCCCACCAAGGCGAGGAGCCGUAGCUGGUCUGAGAGGAUGAUCAGCCACACUGGGACUCAGACACGGCCCAGACGGGUAGCGGCGGCAGCGGUUGGGAAUAAAUGGCCAUGGGCGAGAGGCUGAUACAGCGAUGCCGCGUGAGUGACGAACGGGUUAUGGUCGUCAAGCUAUUUUAACCGAGCUGAUAAUGACAGUAUCGGGAGAAGAAGCACCGGCUAACUACGUG
RNAcentral lists this ribosomal RNA (433 nucleotides) under uncultured bacterium. RNAcentral's name for it is "partial 16S ribosomal RNA". It matches the Rfam family "Bacterial small subunit ribosomal RNA", at positions 29 to 507 of the family's 1533-position model. The record is from RNAcentral.